Molecule: non-coding RNA, 46 nt
Organism: Schistosoma rodhaini
Lineage: Eukaryota; Metazoa; Platyhelminthes; Trematoda; Strigeidida; Schistosomatidae
Source: Rfam
GCACUACUGAGGAGUCUCACAACAGGACGAAACGGCCGUCCAAUGC